UUUAUGGUCUGAGUUUGUUCCCUA
RNAcentral lists this non-coding RNA (24 nucleotides) under Cricetulus griseus (Chinese hamster). The record is from RNAcentral. Lineage: Eukaryota; Metazoa; Chordata; Mammalia; Rodentia; Cricetidae.